This 2915-nucleotide ribosomal RNA is filed under the name Muribaculaceae bacterium Isolate-002 (NCI). RNAcentral's name for it is "23S ribosomal RNA". It matches the Rfam family "Bacterial large subunit ribosomal RNA". The record is from RNAcentral. Lineage: Bacteria; Pseudomonadati; Bacteroidota; Bacteroidia; Bacteroidales; Muribaculaceae.
UAAAGGAAAGGAGAGAAGGGCACAUGAAGGAUGCCUUGGCUCUCGGAGGCGAAGAAGGACGUGAUAAGCUGCGAUAAGCCGCGUGUAGAGGCAAAUACUCAUUGAUACGCGGAUUUCCGAAUGGGGCAACCCACCGUUAGCGAUAACGGUACCUCACCGAGUGAGGGGCGAACCCGGGGAACUGAAACAUCUCAUUACCCGGAGGAGAAGAAAACAAAAGUGAUUGCGCAAGUAGUGGCGAGCGAACGCGCAGGAGCCCAAACCGAGGAUGUAGCAAUGCAUCACUCGGGGUUGUAGGACCGUCGGUGCGCCGACAGCGAAUGUUAGGGGAAGCUUCUGGAAAGGAGCGCCAUAGGAGGUGAAAGCCCUGUACCCGAAAACAUGAACUGCAGGCAAGACGGCACCUGAGUAAGCCGGGACACGAGAAAUCCUGGCCGAACCCGCGGGGACCAUCCCGUAAGGCUAAAUACUACCGAGAGACCGAUAGCGAACCAGUACCGUGAGGGAAAGGUGAAAAGAACCUCGAACAGAGGAGUGAAAAAGACCCUGAAAUCAUGUGCCUACAAGCGGUCGGAGCCACUUUGUGUGGUGACGGCGUGCCUUUUGCAUAAUGAACCUACGAGUCACCGUCUUUGGCGAGGCUAAGUGCCGCAAGACACGGAGCCGAAGCGAAAGCGAGUCCGAACAGGGCGAUUACAGUCAGAGGCGGUGGACGCGAAACCAAGUGAUCUACCCUUGGGCAGGUUGAAGGACAGGUAACACUGUCUGGAGGACCGAACCGGUAAGCGUUGAAAAGCUUUCGGAUGACCUGAGGGUAGGAGUGAAAGGCCAAUCAAACUUGGAGAUAGCUCGUACUCCCCGAAAUGCAUUUAGGUGCAGCCUCGGGAAGCAGUGUCGCGGAGGUAGAGCGACUGAUAGGAUGCGAGGGCUUCACCGCCUAUCAAGUCCUGACAAACUCCGAAUGCCGCGACAUGAUGCCCGGGAGUGAGGGCGCGGGUGCUAAGGUCCGCGUCCGAGAGAGGAACAACUCAGACCACCGGCUAAGGCCCCCAAGUGCGGGCUAAGUUGAAGCCAAUAACGAGGUGGGAUUGCAUAGACAGCUAGGAUGUUGGCUUGGAAGCAGCCAUUCAUUUAAAGAGUGCGUAACAGCUCACUAGUCGAGUGAUCCCGCAUGGAUAAUAAUCGGGCAUAAGCCCGCCGCCGAAGCCGUGGAAUAGAAUUUUAGGAUUUUAUUGGUAGGGGAGCAUUCCGUGAGCCGUCGAAGGUGAGGCGCGAGCCUUGCUGGAGGCAACGGAAAAGCAAAUGUAGGUAUAAGUAACGAUAAGGAGGGCGAGAAACCCUCCCGCCUAAAGACCAAGGGUUCCUGAUCAACGCUAAUCGGAUCAGGGUAAGUCGGGGCCUAAGGAGAAGCCGCAAGGCGCAUCCGAUGGAUAAACGGUAAAAAUUCCGUUACCCGCAACAUGAGCGACGUGGCGACGGAGGAGUGACACAUCCGCGUGCUGACGGAAUAGCACGUUGAACCGCGUAGGUAAAUCAGAGGCAGGCAAAUCCACCUCAGAUGCCGAAACGGGAUAGUACGGAGAGCCCCCGGGCAAUCCGAUAGCGAUGGUAACCAUACUCCCAAGAAAACCCGCUAAGCAUAUUGUGUUGCGGCCCGUACCCUAAACCGACACAGGUGGUCGAGUAGAGAAUACUGAGGCGCUCGAGAGAUUCACGGUUAAGGAACUAGGCAAAUUGACCCCGUAACUUCGGGAAAAGGGGUCCCUGCGAAAGCAGGGCGCAGAGAAUAGGUCCAGGCAACUGUUUAACAAAAACACAGGGCUGUGCAAAAUUUAAAGAUGAAGUAUACAGCCUGACACCUGCCCGGUGCCGGAAGGUUAAGAGGAGGCGUCAUCGCAAGAGAAGCGCUGAAUUGAAGCCCCGGUAAACGGCGGCCGUAACUAUAACGGUCCUAAGGUAGCGAAAUUCCUUGUCGGGUAAGUUCCGACCUGCACGAAUGGUGUAAUGAUCCGGACACUGUCUCAACCGUGAGCUCGGUGAAAUUGUAGUAUCGGUGAAGAUGCCGAUUACCCGCAACGGGACGGAAAGACCCCGUGAACCUUUACUGCAGCUUAGCACUGGGACCGGGUGCUCGAUGUGUAGGAUAGUCAGGAGACAGCGAAGCAGUCACGCCAGUGAUUGUGGAGUCGACGUUGAAAUACUGACCUUCGCGCAUCUGGUUCCUAACGCGCAGGAAGCGCGGACACUGCUUGGUGGGUAGUUUGACUGGGGUGGUCGCCUCCAAAAGAGUAACGGAGGCUUCUAAAGGUGCGCUCAGGCCGAUUGGUAACCGGCCGUAGAGUGUAAUGGCACAAGCGCGCUUGACUGGGAGGCCGACAAGCCGAACAGGUAGGAAACUAGAGCAUAGUGAUCCGGUGGUUCCGUAUGGAAGGGCCAUCGCUCAAAGGAUAAAAGGUACUCCGGGGAUAACAGGCUGAUCCCUCCCAAGAGCUCAUAUCGACGGAGUGGUUUGGCACCUCGAUGUCGGCUCGUCACAUCCCGGGGCUGGAGAAGGUCCCAAGGGUUAGGCUGUUCGCCUAUUAAAGUGGCACGCGAGCUGGGUUCAGAACGUCGUGAGACAGUUCGGUCCCUAUCUGUUGUGGGCGCAGGAGAUUUGCGGGGACCCGACACUAGUACGAGAGGACCGUGUUGGACAGACCUCCGGUGUUCCGGUUGUACCGCCAGGUGCACCGCCGGGUAGCCGCGUCUGGCAAGGAUAAGUGCUGAAAGCAUCUAAGCACGAAGCCCCCCCCAAGAUAAGAUCUCCAUAUAAGGGUCGUUGCAGACUACGACGUCGAUAGGCCGCAGGUGUAAAGACGGUAACGUCAAAGCCGAGCGGUACUAAUCACCCAAACCCUUUCCGGGACGUAAGUCCC